This 1242-nucleotide long non-coding RNA is filed under the name Bemisia tabaci. Its description in RNAcentral is "lncRNA ENSSSA3NGG006879". The record is from RNAcentral. Lineage: Eukaryota; Metazoa; Arthropoda; Insecta; Hemiptera; Aleyrodidae.
CGCUGGAAACUGUGCGAUCAGAGUCCCGGUUAAUAUUGUAUUUUUAACCGUUGAUUACGUGAUUUCGCGGCGGGUAGUGACGACACUGGAUGUAACUGCAACGGACCCUGACCCAAUGACAACAUGACCGUUAUCACAGAUAACACGGUCACGGUCGAGGAAUCUAAAACAGAGGAUGACGAGCCGCCGUUACUCGCACACUCCGAGACCCGGACAGUCCAGGUUUUCGAGAAUGAUGACGUCACUUUAGUGUGCAAAUUUGCCGAUAGGGGUGGUGACCCCACAGCUAUCACCUGGACACGAGGGGAUGUUCGGCUGAUCGGGGAGCGGUUUCGGAUGCGACACGCGUCGAAGGCGCGCUCGCUGACGAUCCAGAAAGCCAGGCAGGAUGACAGCGGCGUCUACAGCUUCGCCGCUUCGAACCCCUUCGGCGAGGCCAACGGGAGCUUCGAGCUUUCGGUCAAGCCGCAACACCCCGCCGCUCCCGUCUUCCUCAGACGCCUCUCCGAUCUCGCCGCCAAAAUCGGCACCAGGACCCGAUUCCUGGCCGAAAUCACCAGCCCCACUCAAAUUAAGGUAAGGGGAGUCGGACUCCCUAUGCUAGCCCAUGUUAAUUUAUCCAACUUCAAUUUUCUUUUUCUCAGAGUCUACUGGGUCUUUUUUCAUCCGGUUUGUUUUGUCGGGUUCCCGACACCUUCAGGAUGAAUUUAACACGGGGGUUUUCCAAAAUUUUGAAAAUUCAACUUUUAUGAAUUUUUUCAAUUUGGUCAUAUUUUUUUUCAAAAAUAUUGACUUUAAAGUAUCCUCAAAAUUUGAAAAAUCAAUUUAUCAAGAAAAGCCCGUGUUAAAGUGUGCAGAAGAGUACAAGGAAUCAAACAAAAAAAAAAAGCGUGAAAAAAAACCCAGUAGAUCCUGAGAAAAAGAAAAUAUGUGUCAAAAAUUGUGAUUGUCGGGAAUCAAGGGUUAAAGAUUCAGUAAGACUUUUGGGGUAGGUAUAGUACUGUUGGGACAACGCACGACCUUGACGCAUUCAAAUGUUCCUCCCGCCUCAACCAAUGGUCAGAAUGAUUUGAUCUUGGUCUCAUUUUAAUCCUGAGAGUAUGUAGAAAAUAGUUACACAAAAAACUGAAAAUCAUAAAUUUUUCGAAUUUUUCGUGUCCGACUCCCCUUAAGGUGAGGAGCAUCCACAUUUUCCAUAUGUACUGCCGUGCUAAGAAAGAACGCUGCAAAGUGGAUCGAGUC